AUGAGGUCGCUCCGCGCGGCGCGGACCCUGCUCGCCUCCCGCUCGUUCCUCCUCUCCUCGCGCGCGCUCCAUGCCGCCGCGGCCUCCCCCGCGGCCGGCCGCUGGGGCAACGCGCCGCCGCCGCCGCCCACGCCCUGCCCGGGGCCGUCGUCCCGGGCCGGGAUCGCGGGCGCGGUCUCCUUCUCCCUGACGUUCGCCACGGUGGCGGUGGCCGAGGUGCAGGCCAAGGAGCGGCUGCCCACGGAUCUGCUGCCCCGGAACGUCGUGCUCUACCAGUACCAGGCGUGCCCCUUCUGCAACAAGGUCAGAGCUUUCCUAGACUACCAUGAUAUACCCUACAAAGUUGUGGAAGUUAAUCCACUGAGCAAAAAGGAAAUCAAGUGGUCUGAGUACAAGAAGGUCCCGAUAUUGACGGUAGAUGGUGAACAUCUGGUUGAUUCUACAGACAUAAUCAAUAUAUUACAGCACAAGAUCAGCCCUGAUGAUGAAGUCACUAAUGAAGAGGAAACAAAAUGGCGCAAGUGGGUUGAUGAGCACCUUGUGCAUGUAUUGUCACCAAAUAUAUACCGGACGACUUCGGAGGCUCUAGAAUCUUUUGACUACAUUGCAAAGAAUGGUAACUUCAGUUACACCGAGCGGUUUGCUGUGAAGUAUGCUGGUGCUGCAGCAAUGUACUUUGUGGCCAAGAAGCUUAAGAAGAAAUACAACAUUACUGAUGAGCGCGCCUCGUUGUAUGAUGCUGCCAACACGUGGACGGAAGCACUGAAUGGAAGAAAUUUUCUUGGUGGCUCCAAGCCUAACUUGGCAGAUCUGGCAGCAUUUGGUGUUCUGAGACCUAUCAGAUACCUGCAAUCUGGAAAAGACAUGGUUGAGCAUACUCAGAUCAGCGAGUGGUACCAGCGGAUGGAAGAUGCGGUCGGAGAACCAUCAAGAAUCCCGGAGGGCCAGUACCCGGAGUAG
This 960-nucleotide ribosomal RNA is filed under the name Triticum aestivum (bread wheat). RNAcentral's name for it is "partial small subunit ribosomal RNA". Lineage: Eukaryota; Viridiplantae; Streptophyta; Magnoliopsida; Poales; Poaceae. The record is from RNAcentral.